GAAGAAAAGGGUCCAUACGUAUAUUUUAGUCUCAUCUAAACAAAAAUAUUUCUUACGAGGAACUUGUAGCCACGACGAAGGUAGGAAUUAUUCUUUUGUGCUGAAGUAAAAUCAUGAGGAACGGUAGGUUAUGCCCACGUUGGUUUGCUCCGAAUAAUAGAAAAUCAGAGUUUUCUUCAAAGUAAAGUAAAGUGGGAGAAGAUCAUUUCUCGGAAUAUAAGACCUGCGAGCUCGAGAAGCAGACGUUGGACAUUAGAUAGAGUUUAAGGUAGACAGGGAGGUGAGCUUGCUCCAGACCCUUAGUAGCUGUCAGCUGAUUGAGAGCACUCCAUUGUCCGGAGGUGCUUAUGAUUCUUCUUUUGGUAUAUAAGCAUAUUUUGGGCACGACGGAGUCUUGUUCCGUCUAUAUGUUUAGUAUGUCAGUAGAGGCUCGUAGAUACGCAGUGUGGGUCAGAUGGUCUCACAAGAUGUUAUUAUUAUGUAUAUAUUAUUUUGAUGGCCGAGAGGCAAAUGUAUAUAAGUAUUUAUGUUUCUAUAUAAAAUAUGAUUUUC
This is a long non-coding RNA of Lycium barbarum (goji berry), 552 nucleotides long. RefSeq lists it as uncharacterized. The transcript has 3 exons. The record is from RefSeq and is a predicted model, not a curated record. NCBI's taxonomy places the organism in Eukaryota, Viridiplantae, Streptophyta, Magnoliopsida, Solanales, Solanaceae.